GAAUUUUUGGGAAAUGGGUGGCCGGACGAUGGAAUGGGCGGCGAGAGCAAACCACCUGGGGGGUAUACCUCGGAAAGUGGUGAUCACGGCGAUAGGUACUUUCGCUAAGGCGGUGGCCAAUCUAUUGAACACCACCACCGUGCACAACGGCGACGUCCUUAUCCGGCUAGUUCGAUCCCGCCCAGCCGGCGUUCCUCUCCUCACCGUCAGCAAUCACAUGUCCACUUUAGAUGACCCAGUUAUGUGGGCAUUCAAAGGUUUUCCAAUUUGUGAUGCAAAGCUGGCUCGAUGGGUACUGGCAGCGGAAGACAUAUGCUUUAAAAAUACAGUAUUGUCAUACUUUUUCCGGAUCGGGAAAUGUAUACCAA
RNAcentral lists this unclassified non-coding RNA (368 nucleotides) under Hevea brasiliensis (rubber tree). Lineage: Eukaryota; Viridiplantae; Streptophyta; Magnoliopsida; Malpighiales; Euphorbiaceae. The record is from RNAcentral.